CGCGCCUGCUGCGCCCCGUAGGGCCCCCCGUGCCCCCGCCCCGCCCGCCGCGCGCGGCGGGCGGGGGGGGGGCACGGGGGGCCCUACGGGGCGCAGCAGGCGCGAAAACUUUACAAUGCGGGAAACCGUGAUAAGGGAACUCCGAGUGUCCGUAAAUGCGGACUGUCCGUAUGUUUAAAAAGCAUGCGAAGAAAGGGCCGGGCAAGACCGGUGCCAGCCGCCGCGGUAAUACCGGCGGCUCGAGUGGUGGCCACUAUUACUGGGCUUAAAGCGUUCGUAGCUGGGUUGUUAAGUCUCUUGGGAAAUCUACCGGCUUAACCGAUAGGCGUCCAAGGGAUACU
RNAcentral lists this ribosomal RNA (341 nucleotides) under uncultured methanogenic archaeon. Its description in RNAcentral is "partial 16S ribosomal RNA". It matches the Rfam family "Archaeal small subunit ribosomal RNA", at positions 216 to 585 of the family's 1478-position model. The record is from RNAcentral. Lineage: Archaea; Methanobacteriati; Methanobacteriota.